UACGUAGGUGGCAAGCGUUGUCCGGAAUUAUUGGGCGUAAAGCGCGUGUAGGCGGUUCGGUAAGUCCGCUGUGAAAGUCGAGGGCUCAACCCUCGAAUGCCGGUGGAUACUGUCGGGCUAGAGUACGGAAGAGGCGAGUGGAAUUCCACGUGUAGCAGUGAAAUGCGUAGAGAUGUGGAGGAACACCGAUGGCGAAGGCAGCCCCCUGGGUCAACACUGACGCUCAUGCACGAAAGCGUGGGGAGCAAACAGG
RNAcentral lists this ribosomal RNA (253 nucleotides) under uncultured bacterium. RNAcentral describes it as "partial 16S ribosomal RNA". It matches the Rfam family "Bacterial small subunit ribosomal RNA", at positions 524 to 776 of the family's 1533-position model. The record is from RNAcentral.